Molecule: ribosomal RNA, 253 nt
Filed under: uncultured bacterium
Lineage: Bacteria
Description: partial 16S ribosomal RNA
Rfam family: Bacterial small subunit ribosomal RNA
Source: RNAcentral
UACGGAGGGUGCAAGCGUUGCUCGGAAUUAUUGGGCGUAAAGGGUAGGUAGGUGGUCUCAUUUGUCUGAGGUGAAAGCCUUGGGCUUAACUCAAGAAGUGCCUCAGAAACGGUGAGACUAGAGUCCUGGAGAGGGUCGUGGAAUUCCCGGUGUAGCGGUGAAAUGCGUAGAUAUCGUAAGGAAGACCAGUGGCGAAGGCGGGUCUCUGGACAGUUCCUGACGCUGAGGCACGAAGGCCAGGGGAGCAAACGGG